UUGGAAAUGGAAAUGGCAACCCACUCCAGUAUCCUUGCCUGGAGAAUCCUAUGGACAGAGGAGCCUGGCAGUCUAUAGUCCACGGGGUCGCAAAGAGUCAAACACAACAGAAACGGCUUAGCAUGCAUGAUGUUACGUAUCUACCGUUAUUAGCAUCUUACAGAAUAUUUUCUCUGCUCUAAAAAUCCUCUGUGCUUCGCCUAUUAAUCUCUCCCCCAACCUUACACAAAUUUCUUUUAGUUCCCAUCACAUACACAUUUCCAACGUGUUUUAUGUACUUACUUAUAUCUGUUGCCUGAAACAGCUUGAGAGAAGGGUUUGUGUCUUCUGCUCCUUUCAUGAGGCUCAUUGCACCUAGAAAAGGGCUGGAUAUCUUUGUUUAUCUACUGUUAACUAGUGAUCGUUCUCAGAAGAUCCUAAUAUUUGUACGCCCUAUGCUGCUGCUGCUGCUAAGUCACUUCAGUUGUGUCCAACUCUGUGCGACCCCAUAGACGGCAGCCCACCAGGCUCCCCCGUCCCUGGGAUACUCCAGGCAAGAACACUGGAGUGGGUUGCCAUUUCCUUCUCCAAUGCAUGAAAGUGAAAAGUGAAUGGGAAGUCACUCCUUCAUAUCCCACUCUUAGCAACCCCAUGGACUACAGCCUACCAGGCUCCUCUGUCCAUGGGAUUUUCCAGGCAAGAGUACUGGAGUGGGGUGCCAUUGCCUUCUCAUGCCCUAUGAGACAGUCAUAAGGUUAUUAUUUUUAAUGUCUGCAAAAGACUUUGAACUAUAUAAAGCAUGGGUUCAUAGUAUACACAGUGUUAUUGAUUUAAUAGUAAUGGUCCCAAAUGUUUAUGAUAUUCCUACUACAAUACUAUGAUUCUACCUUUCUGUUAUCUUUAACAAGAGAUAUCAUAACUCCACUGGGAAUGCUAAUAGUCAGUUCAGAUGGAAUUACCAAGAGCACCCAAGCAAGACAGGCUUAUCCUACAAGAGUAUCAUUUAUCACUUCUUUGUUUAGAGAUGGCUUUUCUUUUCCUGAAUUCCAUUUGUCACAUGGUAGGACUUCCCAUAGAAUCUCUGUGCUUCUGAAGAAUGAGGUUUUUAGUUACUCUGCUGGCUUUUGAAAUUGAUGACUCACCUGUACUUAAUAUGCUCCAUCUUUAGAAUCUGGGGCUGAGGUCACUCUGAGAAAGGCUGCCCAGUGAAAUCUCACACCACCAAAGUGGUCAGCAUGCUGAGAAUGGUAUGUCUUUGCUAAGUUUAGGAGGCAGCAAAGAGACAGGUUGCUCUCUGAUUAAAAUCAGGACCAGAUCUGAUCUUUGUUGAAUGUGAUGCUUCAGAAUCUCAUGUAUCCAGGAGUAUUGUUAGUAUUUUGGCAAAGAGCUUUGGCCGCUGAUUUUCAUUGUCAGGCAGAAUAUUUUUAGUGCUCCUAUUAGAAUCAGAAAUUUGCCUUCUCUGCAGUGAGAAUAAGAUACUCAUUGAUGCUAUAGGGGAGAAGGGUGAUUUUAUGAGAAAUGUAAAAAAAAUUAAUAAAGAAAAUGCCCUGUACAAUAAAUCUUUUAUUAUUUAUGACACUCUGGACAUUGGAAAAUACUAUACAGGAGUAGCAUGUGAAAGACACAGAGUUCUCCUAUAAAUGACUAUAGCCCGUAUUUUUUUUUUAGUGAAACUGAUCUCAUUUGUAAACAAAGUACAUCUUAAUAUCCAACUCACCUAUGUAAAUAUUUCUCAAUUAUUUAGAGUAUGUUCUCUGUUUUUCAGUGAAAUCAGAGUUUGUAUAGAUCACUGUAAUGAGAAAAAUGCAUUGAAUGGAGUAAGAUUUGGGGCAUAAUAGAUGUGAUUCCAGGAACGAUGUCAGAAUACUGACAGGUCAGAAGUUCAGAGGAGAGAGAAGGUCUAGACCUGUGGUAUCCCAAAGAGCUUUAUAUGAAGAAGAAAAUGUUUUGUAACUAUCCUGUCCUAUGUGGUAGCCACUAGCCAUAGUAUUUGAAAUAUGGCUAACAUGGCUGGAGAACUGAUAUUUAAACUUUAUUUAAUGUAAUUAAUUUAAAUAGCCACAUGUAAUGGUUGCAUCACAGAUAUGGGGCAACAAACAGGACCCUCACCUGGAGAGAUAGUAGUUGAAGCCAAGGGAUAGAGAAUAAAAGAAAAAGUCAAGUCCAAAGACAGACACUUCCUUAGAGAACAACUAUGAUUAAGACAGGGUACAAUAUGACAGUUCAAUGUAACUCAAAGUAAUUGCUUUGCAUAGUUAACUUCAUAAGGCCAUCAUUCGCAUGAAACCUAUACAGUGUACUUCACUGGAAGCCACUUCUUUGCUUUGUCUUAUCAUCCUGAUACACUGCAAGGCAUGGAUAUAUUUACGUAUCUAAUCCAAUUGCAAACAGAAAUUAAUAAUAGAUAUUGCUAAAUAAAUUACUGCAUGGCAAACUGAAAAAAAAAAAAAAAGAUGGGGAGAGAGAAAAGAACUGGCCAAAAAGGAAGAGAGGGCAUGAUUAAAGUUAAAGCAAGACAGACCUCAACCACCUGAACCUGAUGCCUUGUGGGUGCCAAGGAGAGCACUUCAGGAAGAAGACUUACAGAGCAGACCUUUCUUGAGCCAUCUUUCAAAAAGUGCAGCUUUAAAGGAAUGGUGAGUGUUGGUGUCAGAUUGCUGGUGUCUGACCAGCAAAGUGCUCGGGCCAACUUUACUCUUGAGAAGUUCGUGGAUAGGGAAAGACGGCGGAGCUGGCUAUGAGGGGAGAGUAGGGGUGUGGGGAGGCUUACUGUAUGUUUUGGUCUGUCUUGGAAGGGAACACCUGAACAGGUUUGUAGGUGCUAGACACAGAUGUCUUCCCCAAUCAUUCCCCCUCACCUCGUCCCUUGCUCCCUUGAUUCAUAACUCCUGGAUGCUCUGAUCUCUCUAACUUACACAAUGGAGGUCUUCUCAAGUUUUCUCCAUCCUCCCCCAUCCCCACCUUCCCUUUCUCCCCUUCCCCUUCA
Molecule: long non-coding RNA, 2965 nt
Organism: Cervus elaphus (red deer)
Lineage: Eukaryota; Metazoa; Chordata; Mammalia; Artiodactyla; Cervidae
Exons: 3
Source: RefSeq, a predicted model, not a curated record